AUGGCCAAAGGCCCAAAGGUAACACAUCCUGAGUAUGUUGAUUUCAAUAGUGAUGAAGAUGACUUGCUUGUGGAUGAUGAUUUACUUGUUGACAACUCUAGUGAUGAAUACUAUGAUGAAACAUCAAUUAAUCAUGCUAAUCAAGAUAAAAUGAAUGACAAUGAUAAGGAGAAGAUUGAGCUUCUAACUAAAGAACUAAACACUCUUAAGUUAGCUCAUGAAACUAUCUUCGAAGAUCAUCGAGAACUUUUAAGGGCUCAUGAGAAGUUACGCUUUGAAAAGCUCAAUCUUGAGCAAGAGCAUGAGUUCUUAAAAGCAAUCAAUGAUGAUCUCCGCAAGAAAAGUUCUUCUUACAUUGCCAAGCAUUUACUCUUAUCUACUUACAUGCCUCAAGUCAAGUCUAGUAACAAGUACAAGAAAGAUACUUCCUCUAGUAGUAACAAUAAUAACGUC
RNAcentral lists this ribosomal RNA (453 nucleotides) under Triticum aestivum (bread wheat). RNAcentral's name for it is "partial small subunit ribosomal RNA". The record is from RNAcentral. Lineage: Eukaryota; Viridiplantae; Streptophyta; Magnoliopsida; Poales; Poaceae.